AUUGAACGCUGGCGGCAGGCCUAACACAUGCAAGUCGAGCGGAUGAAGGGAGCUUGCUCCUGGAUUCAGCGGCGGACGGGUGAGUAAUGCCUAGGAAUCUGCCUGGUAGUGGGGGAUAACGUCCGGAAACGGGCGCUAAUACCGCAUACGUCCUGAGGGUGAAAGUGGGGGAUCUUCGGACCACACGCUAUCAGAUGAGCCUAGGUCGGAUUAGCUAGUUGGUGGGGUAAAGGCCUACCAAGGCGACGAUCCGUAACUGGUCUGAGAGGAUGAUCAGUCACACUGGAACUGAGACACGGUCCAGACUCCUACGGGAGGCAGCAGUGGGGAAUAUUGGACAAUGGGCGAAAGCCUGAUCCAGCCAUGCCGCGUGUGUGAAGAAGGUCUUCGGAUUGUAAAGCACUUUAAGUUGGGAGGAAGGGCAGUAAGUUAAUACCUUGCUGUUUUGACGUUACCAACAGAAUAAGCACCGGCUAACUUCGUG
This 484-nucleotide ribosomal RNA is filed under the name uncultured bacterium. Its description in RNAcentral is "partial 16S ribosomal RNA". It matches the Rfam family "Bacterial small subunit ribosomal RNA", at positions 30 to 507 of the family's 1533-position model. The record is from RNAcentral.